CAACCCUUAAGCCUAGCUUAGUGUUGGGAGUCUACGAGUGGGCCACGCUACCCUGUAGCGUGGUUACCCUGUAGUUCCUGAAAAACAACGGCGGAUUUAUAGUAUCCUCUGAGCGUAGUAAUUUUUUAUCUCGCUUUUGUCAGGUGCUGUGACUUCGGCCGCUAAACCCCCAAUUUUUAAU
This 181-nucleotide unclassified non-coding RNA is filed under the name uncultured Xylariales. Its description in RNAcentral is "sequence contains ITS2". The record is from RNAcentral. Lineage: Eukaryota; Fungi; Ascomycota; Sordariomycetes; Xylariales.